Molecule: ribosomal RNA, 199 nt
Filed under: Salmonella enterica
Lineage: Bacteria; Pseudomonadati; Pseudomonadota; Gammaproteobacteria; Enterobacterales; Enterobacteriaceae
Description: partial 16S ribosomal RNA
Rfam family: Bacterial small subunit ribosomal RNA
Source: RNAcentral
AAAUUGAAGAGUUUGAUCAUGGCUCAGAUUGAACGCUGGCGGCAGGCCUAACACAUGCAAGUCGAACGGUAACAGGAAGCAGCUUGCUGCUUCGCUGACGAGUGGCGGACGGGUGAGUAAUGUCUGGGAAACUGCCUGAUGGAGAGGGAUAACUACUGGAAACGGUGGCUAAUACCGCAUAACGUCGCAAGACCAAAGA